RNAcentral lists this RNase P RNA (454 nucleotides) under Candidatus Cloacimonadota bacterium. Its description in RNAcentral is "RNase P RNA component class A". It matches the Rfam family "Bacterial RNase P class A". Rfam says of the family: Ribonuclease P (RNase P) is a ubiquitous endoribonuclease, found in archaea, bacteria and eukarya as well as chloroplasts and mitochondria. The record is from RNAcentral. Lineage: Bacteria; Pseudomonadati; Candidatus Cloacimonadota.
AGAGAAGAUAAAAUGUCUGCCUGACCACUAAAUUUCAUUGAAGAAGUUCUUUAUGAAUUUAGUGGUCAGGAGGAAAGUCCGAACACCAGAGGGCAGGAUACUUCUUAACGGGAAGUCCCGGUAACGGGAAGCCAGCUCCACAGAAAUAAACUACCUGACCACUCAUUUUAAAAUUUUAUUUAGAAUUUUCAAAUGAGUGGUCGGGAAAAGGUGAAAUGGUAGUGUAAGAGACUACCGGUUUUCGGUGUGAAUCGAGAAGACAGGAAAGCCUUAUCCGGUGCAAUGCCAAAUAGGAGAACAGGUUUGCCCGACCGAAUUGUUCUCGGGUAGGCAGCUAAAACCGGUUCGCAUUUGUCGAAUCUCAUUCGAGAAUAGUAAUAUCCGGUUUAGAGAAAUAGACAUUAGAUCGUUUUUUAGACGAUUUACAGAAUUCGGCUUAAUACCUUCUCUGACA